UAUUAAGUUAUUUUGAUUCGGUUUAAAUUAAAAAAAUAUUUUAUUCAUUUACAAAUUUAAAUCAAUUUUUUUAUUAAAGUUAUUUUGAUUUAAUUUUUAUGUUAAAAAUUUAAUAAAAAAAUUAUUUAGUAAACUAAUAAAUCAAACUAAAUCGAUGCUCACUCUAUACUUUUUUUUAUGCUUUAUUUUAUUGAUAAAUUACUGAAUAUUUCUG
RNAcentral lists this unclassified non-coding RNA (214 nucleotides) under Hevea brasiliensis (rubber tree). Lineage: Eukaryota; Viridiplantae; Streptophyta; Magnoliopsida; Malpighiales; Euphorbiaceae. The record is from RNAcentral.